GCUGUGGGGAUGUAAAGGUGAUGCCCAGGGCCGGCAGCCUAUUGAAGUAAAAGCGUCCCUCAGCCCCGGUGAAGCCCAGCCCCAGGAGCGGAUGUGGGGACAGACCCUGAGAUCCUUGUGGCAAGGAUAUUACCUUUUUCUUUGUCUCCCCAGCAUUCAGCGAAAUGUUUGACACACAGUAGUCCAAGCUGCAUCACGGGCUAACGGGAUGAGUCCUCGUUGAGAUCAUGGAGCUGCAGACUGCUUGAGGACUGAGCUCAGGAUCUGCAAAUAGGACCCUGCUCAAGGCUUGGCUUAUGGACUCACUUUUACCCGCUAUUCCGAAUAUCAUGUGCAGGAACCCCGUACACAAAGCCUUCAACGUAUUCAUGCUAAUUCCAUACCAAAAAAUAAAAAUUAAA
Molecule: long non-coding RNA, 401 nt
Organism: Eptesicus fuscus (big brown bat)
Lineage: Eukaryota; Metazoa; Chordata; Mammalia; Chiroptera; Vespertilionidae
Exons: 3
Source: RefSeq, a predicted model, not a curated record